This 667-nucleotide ribosomal RNA is filed under the name uncultured bacterium. RNAcentral's name for it is "bacterial SSU rRNA". It matches the Rfam family "Bacterial small subunit ribosomal RNA", at positions 51 to 767 of the family's 1533-position model. The record is from RNAcentral.
ACACAUGCAGUCGACGAACCCUUCGGGGUUAGUGGCGCACGGGUGCGUAACGCGUGGGAACCUGCCUUUUGGUUCGGAAUAACAGUGAGAAAUUACUGCUAAUACCGGAUAAUGUCUUCGGACCAAAGAUUUAUCGCCAUUAGAUGGGCCCGCGUAAGAUUAGCUAGUUGGUGGGGUAAAGGCCUACCGAGGCGACGAUCUUUAGCUGGUCUGAGAGGAUGAUCAGCCACACUGGGACUGAGACACGGCCCAGACUCCUACGGGAGGCAGCAGUGGGGAAUAUUGGACAAUGGGCGAAUGCCUGAUCCAGCAAUGCCGCGUGAGUGAUGAAGGCCUUAGGGUUGUAAAGCUCUUUUACCCGAGAUGAUAAUGACAGUAUCGGGAGAAUAAGCUCCGGCUAACUCCGUGCCAGCAGCCGCGGUAAUACGGAGGGAGCUAGCGUUGUUCGGAAUUACUGGGCGUAAAGCGCACGUAGGCGGCUUUUUAAGUCAGGGGUGAAAUCCCGGGGCUCAACCCCGGAACUGCCCUUGAACUGGGAAGCUAGAAUCUUGGAGAGGCGAGUGGAAUUCCGAGUGUAGAGGUGAAAUUCGUAGAUAUUCGGAAGAACACCAGUGGCGAAAGCGACUCGCUGGACAAGUAUUGACGCUGAGGUGCGAAAGCGUGGGGA